Molecule: ribosomal RNA, 252 nt
Filed under: uncultured bacterium
Lineage: Bacteria
Description: partial 16S ribosomal RNA
Rfam family: Bacterial small subunit ribosomal RNA
Source: RNAcentral
UACGUAGGUGGCAAGCGUUGUCCGGAAUUAUUGGGCGUAAAGCGCGCGCAGGCGGUUAUGUAAGUCUGAUUUUAAAGCCCGGGGCUCAACCUCGGUUAGCAUUGGAAACUGUGUAACUUGAGUGCAGAAGAGGAAAGCUGUAUUCCACGUGUAGCGGUGAAAUGCGUAGAGAUGUGGAGGAACACCAGUGGCGAAGGCGACUUUCUGGUCUGUAAAUGAGGCUGAGGCGCGAAAGCGUGGGGAGCAAACAGG